AUGGCCUCGAACUUGAACUCCGGUGUCAUCUCGGAAACUUGUGGUGACCUUCCUACCUCGAAGGACUCCGCCGUUGAUAGUAAGUUUCCUUAUGAUACUUUGUUGCUUAUUUUGUAUCCACGAGAUCCCAUCUUGGGGCCUGUUCCGGAGCUCCGUCGAAAGAGGGCCGUCAUCACGGAGGACUUCUACAUCAUCAUAGCCUCUCCGAUGAAGUGUACGAGGGACUUGAGCGUGGGCUCCUACUGGAUUGAUACAUUGAUUCUCAAAAACUGUGGGAAAUACUUACGCUACUCUGCUGCAUCAUCCCUUCCUCUUCGAGAAAAACCAACACAAACUCAAGACGUAGCAGUUAACAACUCAUCAAAAUUUCCUACGAAACUGCGUUGA
RNAcentral lists this ribosomal RNA (387 nucleotides) under Triticum aestivum (bread wheat). RNAcentral describes it as "partial small subunit ribosomal RNA". The record is from RNAcentral. Lineage: Eukaryota; Viridiplantae; Streptophyta; Magnoliopsida; Poales; Poaceae.